This 301-nucleotide ribosomal RNA is filed under the name uncultured bacterium. Its description in RNAcentral is "partial 16S ribosomal RNA". It matches the Rfam family "Bacterial small subunit ribosomal RNA", at positions 509 to 809 of the family's 1533-position model. The record is from RNAcentral.
CAGCAGCCGCGGGAAUACGAAGGGUGCAAGCGUUAAUCGGAAUUACUGGGCGUAAAGCGCACGUAGGCGGAUCGAUCAGUCAGGGGUGAAAUCCCAGAGCUCAACUCUGGAACUGCCUUUGAUACUGUCGAUCUGGAGUAUGGAAGAGGUGAGUGGAAUUCCGAGUGUAGAGGCGAAAUUCGUAGAUAUUCGGAGGAACACCAGUGGCGAAGGCGGCUCACUGGUCCAUUACUGACGCUGAGGUGCGAAAGCGUGGGGAGCAAACAGGAUUAGAUACCCGCGUAGUCCCUGUCUCUUAUAA